This 839-nucleotide ribosomal RNA is filed under the name uncultured Sphingobacteriia bacterium. Its description in RNAcentral is "bacterial SSU rRNA". It matches the Rfam family "Bacterial small subunit ribosomal RNA", at positions 70 to 902 of the family's 1533-position model. Lineage: Bacteria; Pseudomonadati; Bacteroidota; Sphingobacteriia. The record is from RNAcentral.
CAGCAGGACUGUAGCAAUACAGUUGCUGGCGACCGGCAAACGGGUGCGGAACACGUACGCAACUUACCCAAAACUGGGGAAUAGCCCGGGGAAACCCGGAUUAAUACCCCGUAACAUAAUUGAAUGGCAUCAUUUGAUUAUUAUAGAUUUUAUCGGUUUUGGAUGGGCGUGCGCCUGAUUAGGUAGUUGGCGGGGUAAUGGCCCACCAAGCCUACGAUCAGUAACUGGUGUGAGAGCACGACCAGUCACACGGGCACUGAGACACGGGCCCGACUCCUACGGGAGGCAGCAGUAAGGAAUAUUGGUCAAUGGACGCAAGUCUGAACCAGCCAUGCCGCGUGAAGGAUGAAGGUCCUCUGGAUUGUAAACUUCUUUUAUAUGGGACGAAACCUCCGGAUUCUUCUGGAAUUGACGGUACCAUAGGAAUAAGCACCGGCUAACUCCGUGCCAGCAGCCGCGGUAAUACGGAGGGUGCAAGCGUUAUCCGGAUUCACUGGGUUUAAAGGGUGCGUAGGAGGGCAGGUAAGUCAGUGGUGAAAUCUCCAAGCUUAACUUGGAAACUGCCGUUGAUACUAUCUGUCUUGAAUACCGUGGAGGUGAGUGGAAUAUGUCAUGUAGCGGUGAAAUGCUUAGAUAUGACAUAGAACACCAAUUGCGAAGGCAGCUCGCUACACGAAUAUUGACUCUGAGGCACGAAAGCGUGGGGAUCAAACAGGAUUAGAUACCCUGGUAGUCCACGCCCUAAACGAUGGAUACUCGACAUACGCGAUACACAGUGUGUGUCUGAGCGAAAGCAUUAAGUAUCCCACCUGGGAAGUACGACCGCAAGGUUGAAACUC